GUGAUCUGUACGGGGUUCCUAGUGUGGAUGGGAACUAGGUUGAAUACGCCUCACCUCUGGAAAGCAGCCAAUCCCUUUCAGCCUGAUGCAUUCCCGGGUUUUCUGGCCAUCCAGAAUGUAAGCGUUCUUCUUCUUGGGCAAGUACCGCAAGUUGAGCCAAACUACAGAGAAACUUAAAAGAGCAGAUGGUAAGAAUCAGGGCAGAAGAAGGACUCCUGAAGCCACUGAAGGAAGGAAAUCAUUACAGGGUUCUACAGAAGUAGGUCAUGUGCUACAGCUGCUCAUAGUUUAAGAGGAAGAAACAUGGGACCUCAAACAUGGAACAUGACUCUUUCAAAAUGCUUGAGAGCAGCCCAAGAAAAACAUCCUCAGAGGCUUAUUUAAUAAACA
Phascolarctos cinereus (koala) is the source of this 390-nucleotide long non-coding RNA. Lineage: Eukaryota; Metazoa; Chordata; Mammalia; Diprotodontia; Phascolarctidae. The record is from Ensembl.